AACGAACGCUGGCGGCAGGCUUAACACAUGCAAGUCGAACGCACCUUUCGGGGUGAGUGGCAGACGGGUGAGUAACGCGUGGGAAUCUAACCUUCUCUACGGGAUAGCUCCGGGAAACUGGAAUUAAUACCGUAUACGUCCUGAGGGAGAAAGAUUUAUCGGGGAAGGAUGAGCCCGCGUUGGAUUAGCUAGUUGGUGGGGUAAAGGCCUACCAAGGCGACGAUCCAUAGCUGGUCUAAGAGGAUGAUCAGCCACAUUGGGACUGAGACACGGCCCAAACUCCUACGGGAGGCAGCAGUGGGGAAUAUUGGACAAUGGGCGCAAGCCUGAUCCAGCCAUGCCGCGUGAGUGAUGAAGGCCCUAGGGUUGUAAAGCUCUUUCAGUGGGGACGAUAAUGACGGUACCCACAGAAGAAGCCCCGGCUAACUUCGUG
RNAcentral lists this ribosomal RNA (433 nucleotides) under uncultured bacterium. RNAcentral describes it as "partial 16S ribosomal RNA". It matches the Rfam family "Bacterial small subunit ribosomal RNA", at positions 29 to 507 of the family's 1533-position model. The record is from RNAcentral.